Molecule: small RNA, 21 nt
Filed under: Arabidopsis thaliana (thale cress)
Lineage: Eukaryota; Viridiplantae; Streptophyta; Magnoliopsida; Brassicales; Brassicaceae
Description: ATSL297490
Source: RNAcentral
AGAAGGAAAAAGAAGCAAAAC